GCUGUAAUGGUGUAGGGGUUAACAUGGAGUCUUCCCAUGGCUCCGCGCGGGGUUCGAGUCCCCGUUACAGCA
RNAcentral lists this transfer RNA (72 nucleotides) under Armillaria borealis. RNAcentral's name for it is "tRNA-Gly". Lineage: Eukaryota; Fungi; Basidiomycota; Agaricomycetes; Agaricales; Physalacriaceae. The record is from RNAcentral. RNAcentral also lists the same sequence under 8 other names.